GCCGCAGCGAAAGCGAGUCUGAAUAGGGCGUUGAGUAUUUGGUCGUAGACCCGAAACCAGGUGAUCUACCCUUGGUCAGGUUGAAGUUCAGGUAACACUGAAUGGAGGACCGAACCGACUUACGUUGAAAAGUGAGCGGAUGAACUGAGGGUAGCGGAGAAAUUCCAAUCGAACUUGGAGAUAGCUGGUUCUCUCCGAAAUAGCUUUAGGGCUAGCCUCAAGUGAUGAUUAUUGGAGGUAGAGCACUGUUUGGACGAGGGGCCCCUCUCGGGUUACCGAAUUCAGACAAACUCCGAAUGCCAAUUAAUUUAACUUGGGAGUCAGAACAUGGGUGAUAAGGUCCGUGUUCGAAAGGGAAACAGCCCAGACCACCAGCUAAGGUCCCAAAAUAUAUGUUAAGUGGAAAAGGAUGUGGCGUUGCCCAGACAACUAGGAUGUUGGCUUAGAAGCAGCCAUCAUUUAAAGAGUGCGUAAUAGCUCACUAGUCGAGUGACACUGCGCCGAAAAUGUACCGGGGCUAAACAUAUUACCGAAGCUGUGGAUUGUCCUUUGGACAAUGGUAGGAGAGCGUUCUAAGGGCGUCGAAGCAUGAUCGCAAGGACAUGUGGAGCGCUUAGAAGUGAGAAUGCCGGUGUGAGUAGCGAAAGACGGGUGAGAAUCCCGUCCACCGAUUGACUAAGGUUUCCAGAGGAAGGCUCGUCCGCUCUGGGUUAGUCGGGUCCUAAGCUGAGGCCGACAGGCGUAGGCGAUGGAUAACAGGUUGAUAUUCCUGUACCACCUAGUAUCGUUUUAAUCGAUGGGGGGACGCAGUAGGAUAGGCGAAGCGUGCUGUUGGAGUGCACGUCCAAGCAGUAAGGCUGAGUGUUAGGCAAAUCCGGCACUCAUAAGGCUGAGCUGUGAUGGGGAGAGGAAAUUGUUUCCUCGAGUCGUUGAUUUCACACUGCCGAGAAAAGCCUCUAGAUAGAUAACAGGUGCCCGUACCGCAAACCGACACAGGUAGUCAAGAUGAGAAUUCUAAGGUGAGCGAGCGAACUCUCGUUAAGGAACUCGGCAAAAUGACCCCGUAACUUCGGGAGAAGGGGUGCUCUUUAGGGUUCACGCCCAGAAGAGCCGCAGUGAAUAGGCCCAAGCGACUGUUUAUCAAAAACACAGGUCUCUGCUAAACCGUAAGGUGAUGUAUAGGGGCUGACGCCUGCCCGGUGCUGGAAGGUUAAGAGGAGUGGUUAGCUUCUGCGAAGCUACGAAUCGAAGCCCCAGUAAACGGCGGCCGUAACUAUAACGGUCCUAAGGUAGCGAAAUUCCUUGUCGGGUAAGUUCCGACCCGCACGAAAGGCGUAACGAUUUGGGCACUGUCUCAACGAGAGACUCGGUGAAAUCAUAGUACCUGUGAAGAUGCAGGUUACCCGCGACAGGACGGAAAGACCCCGUGGAGCUUUACUGUAGCCUGAUAUUGAAAUUCGGCACAGCUUGUACAGGAUAGGUAGGAGCCUUUGAAACGUGAGCGCUAGCUUACGUGGAGGCGUUGGUGGGAUACUACCCUAGCUGUGUUGGCUUUCUAACCCGCACCACUUAUCGUGGUGGGAGACAGUGUCAGGCGGGCAGUUUGACUGGGGCGGUCGCCUCCUAAAAGGUAACGGAGGCGCUCAAAGGUUCCCUCAGAAUGGUUGGAAAUCAUUCAUAGAGUGUAAAGGCAUAAGGGAGCUUGACUGCGAGACCUACAAGUCGAGCAGGGUCGAAAGACGGACUUAGUGAUCCGGUGGUUCCGCAUGGAAGGGCCAUCGCUCAACGGAUAAAAGCUACCCCGGGGAUAACAGGCUUAUCUCCCCCAAGAGUUCACAUCGACGGGGAGGUUUGGCACCUCGAUGUCGGCUCAUCGCAUCCUGGGGCUGUAGUCGGUCCCAAGGGUUGGGCUGUUCGCCCAUUAAAGCGGUACGCGAGCUGGGUUCAGAACGUCGUGAGACAGUUCGGUCCCUAUCCGUCGUGGGCGUAGGAAAUUUGAGAGGAGCUGUCCUUAGUACGAGAGGACCGGGAUGGACAUACCUCUGGUGUACCAGUUGUCGUGCCAACGGCAUAGCUGGGUAGCUAUGUAUGGACGGGAUAAGUGCUGAAAGCAUCUAAGCAUGAAGCCCCCCUCAAGAUGAGAUUUCCCAACUUCGGUUAUAAGAUCCCUCGAAGAUGACGAGGUUAAUAGGUUCGAGGUGGAAGCGUGGUGACACGUGGAGCUGACGAAUACUAAUCGAUCGAAGACUUAAUC
This 2254-nucleotide ribosomal RNA is filed under the name Staphylococcus epidermidis. RNAcentral's name for it is "bacterial LSU rRNA". It matches the Rfam family "Bacterial large subunit ribosomal RNA", at positions 665 to 2925 of the family's 2925-position model. The record is from RNAcentral. Lineage: Bacteria; Bacillati; Bacillota; Bacilli; Caryophanales; Staphylococcaceae.